AAAGCUGAGGGAGGAUCUCCAUGUGGAAGGACAAGGUAGUAGGAAGAGGCUUCCACCCUUUGGGAAAGGUCAGUGUUAACGUGUAAUACACUAGGAAGAGAGGAGAUUUACAAUCAUCAGUACCACUAUCCCCAUCCCACCCAAAAGCAACAGAUAAAUCUUGGAAAAUGACAGGCACUCCCAGGCUGACACAGAGGAGUGAGAUAGAUGGUGAGGGGUCCUUUUGGAUCUCUGGCCUCUGUAGCUGUGUGGUGUCAGUUCCCUUCUCUGCCCUUCUCUGUGUUUGCAGUACUGCCCCUGCCCCUGGGUCCACCUGCCCUCCUCACCUGGAGGCAUCUGCCAUCGUCUAUGAUCCCCCCCGCAACAGGCAGGGUCUAAGAUGUGUAUGCACCCAUUCAAACCUCAAGCCUGUAUCUGCAUUUAUAUCCAGGGACAUGAACAAGAAUGAAGGUAGCCACCAAUUGAACUUAGAGCACUCUCCAAGCUCAGGUCAAUGUAUGGGGGGAGGACUUCCCCCCUAGGACAAAGAGACUCCUCCUCCCAUUUUUGCCAUUGUGCUAGUAAAAAAAAAAAAAAUCCUUGGCAGGAAAGAAUUCCUUGAACACAGAGGGGAUGGAAAUAAUGACCACUGAGAUGAUAUUCCAUUUCUGGCCCCUUGGGAAAGAAAUUUUUUUUUUUUAAUUUGAGGGGAUCAAGAUAGUCUGAACUUCAGAGAGUGCUAUAAUUUACUGGAGGGAGGGGGCACAAGACUCAGGGCCCCAAGCGAUCGGUGGGAAACUAGAUCUCAAAGCAGAAAAUGAAAAGUCGAUCUGGGGGAAGAUUUUUAAAUAAGUGGGUCAGAGGGAUGGAGAGGAGAUGAGGCGAUCAAUCUUAGCCCCCUGACAGCUCCCUCCGAUGGCAUCAAAGAAUUUGGCUGUUUGGGAAAGCAGAGGGAACAGCAGAAAUUCCACAUCCCUUUAAAAGGCCUGGGGGUGGGGGGUGUUAGCAAAAGAGAAAGGUGAUUCCGGGAGAGCGGGAAACAGAUGGGAAAUGGGAACAGAAGGAAGGGCGCUGAGUUGGGUGGAAAGUUUGUCUGGAGAACUCCCACGGCUCUGGCCUCCCCUCCCCCUCCUCGCUCUCUCCUGCCCAGCAAGGAAGAGAAGGCUGGUUAGCAGAGAAAUGGCAACGCAGCCCUGAGCUGGAACUGGAAACUUUCUGUUAAUGUAACAGUCCGUGGGUGGUGACCCAAUGGUGGUUGGGCUUCGGGUCAUGUGACGACUUCUUUGUAGCUCCGGAAGAGAACUGUGAAGUUUAGCUUGCAUGGAAGAAGCACUAAUACGCCAGAUUUUUUUGUUGCUGAGGGAGUGUGUUGGGGGGGGUGGCGAGGAGGUUGUGGCCAAGGAGUGAGGAGACAAAAGGUCAAUGAAGGAGAAAAAUUGAGAGGCAAAGAAGCCAAACAAAAAGACCUAGAGAGAGCACCCAAGAGUCCUUUCCCCCACAACUUGUUACUUAAAUCUUAGCUAAAGAAGUUGGCAGCAUGUUCCAGGCUCCUGUGAGUGACAAAAACUAUAUAAACCUGAGACAGCGAGGGGGAGGCAGGGGUCUGGGCAGUGAACAAAAAGGCCAGAAGAGGGUCUUCAGUGUCCUUCUUCCCUUGGGGGAAAUUGAGCAGUCAGCAGCCUCCCUCUGCUAUCUAAAUUGGACUACCAGGACAAGAUAAAAUUGUUAACAGAAAGUUUAUUCAAGAAUUGUUUGACAGACAACCCUUUUAAGUAAGGAAAAAAGUAACUACGGAACAACAAAGAAAGUUCCAAGAGGGAAUUAACUCUAAUUCUACAAAUUCAGGACUAUACAGUGACAAUUAGGAGCUGAGUUCAUGCCUUUUAGAACUAAUUACAAUUGCUCAUAAGUACGAAUUUAACAUAAAUCUACAGCUCUUUUCUAGAGUACAAUAAUAACUAAAAUAGCUGUUUUUACAUGACAGGAAACACAACGUCCUUUAUAACAAGUAAAUACUUAAAAAAAGUACAAUUUUUUCCCUCAUAUAAAUACAUAAUGUAGGGGGAUAAAUAAUACAAAAAAGAAAAUAUUUUAACAGGCUAUAACCAAUAAAUAUAUAUGAAAAUGUUCACUAGAACACACGCUUUUUGAGCGAUGCUGGACUCCUACAGGCCCAGGCAUCUCUCACAGUUGUUUUUAUAUCCAUUAAAAUGUAAACUCUAAGUGCAACAAAAGUGUCCUGUCAGGAGGUUGAGCAAGGCACACAGGCCCAGCUGCAGCCCCUGCCUGGGACAGACAGUUUGUUAAAAUAUACCCUGUUUUCACGUUAAGUCAAGAGAGCAACAGAAGAAAAUAAAAUUGUAGAACCUCGUGUCACCGAUUGCUUUCUGUGGAGAGAGGGGGAUGGACCUGGAGCUGAGAUGGGAGGCAGCAGAUUGGACAAACCUUAAGUCCUAACGACUUGCCUGCCCUCACCUCCCAGCUUUUCCAUAAAAGAAAAAAAAAUAUGUAUUUAUAAUAUAGACAGCUCUGACUUUCAGGAUCUCUCACCAUCCCUGAGCCCUCUGAAACCAUAAUUGAUGGGGGUGGCAUAGAGAUAUGAAUGUCCUAGAGCAGAAAAAUAUGGGGCUGGAAAUGCAGGGAGUGCUGAGUAAACCUCAAAUAGAUGGGAGGAAAUUUGAGGCUUCAGGGAAGUGGGAGGGGGUGGUGUUUUGUGCCCUUGGAUUUG
This is a non-coding RNA of Ceratotherium simum simum (southern white rhinoceros), 2707 nucleotides long. The record is from RefSeq and is a predicted model, not a curated record. Lineage: Eukaryota; Metazoa; Chordata; Mammalia; Perissodactyla; Rhinocerotidae.